Molecule: ribosomal RNA, 946 nt
Filed under: uncultured Bacillota bacterium
Lineage: Bacteria; Bacillati; Bacillota
Description: bacterial SSU rRNA
Rfam family: Bacterial small subunit ribosomal RNA
Source: RNAcentral
UCAGACUUUGAUUAUGGCUCAGGAUGAACGCUGGCGGCAUGCCUAAGACAUGCAAGUCGAACGAGAUGGCCCAGUGAAGGUUGAGUGCUUGCACAAGACUGAAUCUGGAUUCCCAUCUAGUGGCAGACGGGUGAGUAACACGUGGGUGACCUACCUUUUUGUUGGGGAUGACAGUUGGAAACGAUUGCUAAUACCGAAUAAAAUGUAAGAGUCAAUUUUACAUUGAAAGGAGCCUUUAAAGCUUCGCGAUUAGAUGGGCCUGCGGCGUAUUAACUAGUUGGUGAGGUAAUGGCUUACCAAGGUGACGAUGCGUAGCCGAACUGAGAGGUUGAUCGGCCACAUUGGGACUGAGACACGGCCCAAACUCCUACGGGAGACAGCAGUUAGGAAUAUUCGUCAAUGGAGGAAACUCUGAACGAGCAAUGCCGCGUGAGUGAUGAAGGUCUUAUAGAUUGUAAAACUCUGUUGUAUGGAAAAAACGACUAGGUUAGGAAAUGAACUUAGUGUGAUGGUACCAUACCAGAAAGCCCCGGCUAACUACGUGCCAGCAGCCGCGGUAAUACGUAGGGGGCGAGCGUUAUCCGGAUUUAUUGGGCGUAAAGCGUGUGUAGGCGGUUUAUUAAGUUUAAGAUUAAAGCCCGGGGCUCAACUCCGGUAAGUCUUAAAAACUGGUAGACUUGAGUACGGUAGAGGCAAACGGAAUUUCUAGUGUAGCGGUGAAAUGCGUAGAUAUUAGAAGGAACACCAGUGGCGAAAGCGGCUUGCUGGGCCGUUACUGACGCUGAGGCACGAAAGCGUGGGGAGCAAAUAGGAUUAGAUACCCUAGUAGUCCACGCCGUAAACGAUGAGUACUAAGUGUUGGGGUUACCCAGUGCUGAAGCUAACGUAUUAAGUACUCCGCCUGAGUAGUACGGUCGCAAGGCUGCAACUCAAAUGAAUUGACGGA